GAUGAACGCUGGCGGCGUGCCUAAUACAUGCAAGUCGAGCGAACGGACGAGAAGCUUGCUUCUCUGAUGUUAGCGGCGGACGGGUGAGUAACACGUGGAUAACCUACCUAUAAGACUGGGAUAACUUCGGGAAACCGUAGCUAAUACCGGAUAAUAUUUUGAACCGCAUGGUUCACACGUGAAAGUCGGUCUUUCUGUCACUUAUAGAUGGAUCCGCACUGCAUUAGCUAGUUGGUAAGGUAACGGCUUACCAAGGCAACGAUGGAUAGCCGACCUGAGAGGGACGUCCCACACCUGGGAAGUGAGGCUGAGCACCAACUCCUGCAGGGAGACGCGGUCGGGAAUCCUCCGCAAGGGGGCAAAGGCGAACAGUGGACAACCGGGUGAGGCAUGAAGGUCUUAGGACGGGAAAACGCUGAUAUUAGGGGAGAUGAUAAGUGUAAGUAACCGUGAAGAUAAUGACGGUACCUAAUCAGAAAGCCCCGGCUAACUACGUG
RNAcentral lists this ribosomal RNA (497 nucleotides) under uncultured bacterium. Its description in RNAcentral is "partial 16S ribosomal RNA". It matches the Rfam family "Bacterial small subunit ribosomal RNA", at positions 28 to 507 of the family's 1533-position model. The record is from RNAcentral.